Molecule: ribosomal RNA, 404 nt
Filed under: Actinomycetes bacterium
Lineage: Bacteria; Bacillati; Actinomycetota; Actinomycetes
Description: Actinobacteria bacterium partial 16S ribosomal RNA
Rfam family: Bacterial small subunit ribosomal RNA
Source: RNAcentral
UGGGGAAUAUUGGACAAUGGGCGCAAGCCUGAUCCAGCCAUGCCGCGUGAGUGAUGAAGGCCCUAGGGUUGUAAAGCUCUUUCACCGGUGAAGAUAAUGACGGUAACCGGAGAAGAAGCCCCGGCUAACUUCGUGCCAGCAGCCGCGGUAAUACGAAGGGGGCUAGCGUUGUUCGGAUUUACUGGGCGUAAAGCGCACGUAGGCGGACUAUUAAGUCAGGGGUGAAAUCCCGGGGCUCAACCCCGGAACUGCCUUUGAUACUGGUAGUCUUGAGUUCGAGAGAGGUGAGUGGAAUUCCGAGGGUAGAGGUGAAAUUCGUAGAUAUUCGGAGGAACACCAGUGGCGAAGGCGGCUCACUGGCUCGAUACUGACGCUGAGGUGCGAAAGCGUGGGGAGCAAACAGG